GGCUGCGUAGUUCAACUGGAUAGAAUAUCAGAUUUCGGCUCUGACGGUUGGGGGUUCGAAUCCCUUCGCAGUCACAA
RNAcentral lists this transfer RNA (77 nucleotides) under Polaribacter sp. IC063. Its description in RNAcentral is "tRNA-Arg". It matches the Rfam family "tRNA". Rfam says of the family: Transfer RNA (tRNA) molecules are approximately 80 nucleotides in length. Their secondary structure includes four short double-helical elements and three loops (D, anti-codon, and T loops). The record is from RNAcentral. RNAcentral also lists the same sequence under 2 other names. Lineage: Bacteria; Pseudomonadati; Bacteroidota; Flavobacteriia; Flavobacteriales; Flavobacteriaceae.